RNAcentral lists this unclassified non-coding RNA (276 nucleotides) under Hevea brasiliensis (rubber tree). The record is from RNAcentral. Lineage: Eukaryota; Viridiplantae; Streptophyta; Magnoliopsida; Malpighiales; Euphorbiaceae.
AUUUGAUGGAGGGCAGAGGAAGAGAACCAUAAAUUUUCCUUGGAAGACAAAUAGGGAGAAAAUGGACCUUCCAAAUAUUACCAUCUUAAUUUAGAGGCAGUGUAAGGGUCUAUGUUGUUGUACAAGGAAGAGGAAAACACAGUUUCUGAUCCCUCCUAUUAACUUCACUUGUUUUGGGAUAAUUUAGAAGGAACAUGUUAUGAUAACAAGGGGAAUAGGAAUGUGAGAAUGUAUGGGAGGAAAUUAUUGUAUAAAUAGGGUAACAUUGUAACUAAU